This is a long non-coding RNA of Austrofundulus limnaeus, 1105 nucleotides long. RefSeq lists it as uncharacterized. The transcript has 3 exons. Lineage: Eukaryota; Metazoa; Chordata; Actinopteri; Cyprinodontiformes; Rivulidae. The record is from RefSeq and is a predicted model, not a curated record.
AGCGAGAGAGAGCAGUCCAGUGCUGGAGCUGAGCCCAGUGCAGGGGUGGGGGAAAGUGCCAGCAGCGCACGCCUCCGACACUCUCCACACUGCGUGCUUGUGGAGUGAGUUUUAGUGGAUGUGGUCAGUGCGGGGGUGGGAGAAGUGGAGAGGGAGAAGCAGUUGGAAGGACGGAUGGAGGAGGAGAGCGAAAACGACUCUUCAAUACCRGGCAACAUCCAGUGGAGGGGAUAGGAGUGUGUUGAAUUCAGCGGGAAGAAGCCUCACACAGUGACAUAUACCACAGCAGGAGCUUUACGUUGUGCAUCUCAAGAGCUAUGAAAGAAACUACACCUGGACCCGGAAACAAGCUCCACUUUGUGCCAAGGAUGUGCCACUCUUGCUCUCAAUAAACAGGGACCAGAUAGCAAAUAAAAGCAAAAACUAACUGAAGUUAUUCACAAAGCCAUCUUUUCAGAGAGAAUUCCCAACAUUCAAAAGGUUCACCACCAACAACGAACUCUUGCUCGGGCAGUGAUGUAGGAGAGGUGAUACUGUAGGUGUCUGACAGCAAGAGAUAGCCAUGUCUAGAAGACUUCCUGGAGAGAUGUUUUAUGGACACAGUAAAGAGGAAAUUCAGCACCAUCACAGCUAAUUGCCAGAAUUAAUGUUUUUGUAGAAGAUAAAAAGACAUCUAUCUGUCAAGAUGUGAGUUGGCAGGUGAGCAGUACAGAGGAAAAAGCUUGGGUGAAUGUGACACGAAGUAAAGAGGAGUACAGAAGUUAAAUUCUUUUGGUAGUGGCUGGAGCAGAUGGUACAUCAAUAGUUUAUGAGUGGGCUUAGGUAAAGGUUUGGGUUUACCGAGGUGUGCUUGGUGUGAUUUGCGCAGAGUAGCAGCCGUUUACUGAGUCGCUGGCCCAACCUUUGAAGAGCCAGCAAACAUUCCAGACUGGGACACAGAAGGUGGGAGGACAGAUUCAAAACAGAGGCAGCUCCGAGCCAGGACAAAUGAGCUCCAGGUCCACUGCACUCCCUUUACACCCACUUGGGCAGUUACACACAUUCCCUGUUCCCACAACACAGAUUUAACUGCACAGACAAUAAAAAGCAAUGCCACAACACAGAA